CUUCAGAUACGAUCAUAAGAUAAUUUAUGCAAGCCUGACUUUAUCUUCAUCUUCUGCUCAUAAAACAAGUUGGACUCAGCGAUUGUCCAAAAUUAGAAGGGACUGUUUAAGUUGGAUUUCUAGGAACAAUAAGGCAACUCUUGUUUAUUCCAAGAAAAUUAAAGAACUAAUUGUUGGAAAAACUUUCCAAGAUGGGAACACCAAACAUAAAUUUAAGAAAAACACUGCAGCAACAGGAAAAGAAAGAAGAAGAAGACAGUAAAAUCGCCUUCAAUCACGUAGAAUGCUAUCCUAAUAGCGUGACUUGCAUUCUCUCCUUGAUUUGGGAUUCUUUAGCGAAUUCAAGCAAAUAGCUUUAGCUGAUUCUUCAGCUUUCAACCGGAUUGCAAAAGCACAAAUAAAAUCUGCAAAGAAGGAAAUAAUUAGAACUUUUUAAGAAAUCAGAAUUUCGAUGCUUUUGGAAAUUAAUGUUCUUGAAACACGAAUUUGGGAAUGUUUGUAAUGUUUUUUAUUUUUUAUUUCAACCAAUAUAUAAAAUGAGUAAUAACCAAAACACGAAGGACAUGAUUCUUGGACGAAAAUGCACUUUUUGAAUUCAAAAAACUCAAAGACGGUGUCAAAGGACACCUGCGUUGCAGCUGUGCUGCCUAGGCAGCCAUCCGCCAACCUUCUCUCAUGGUACAGUUCGUCUUAUCCUCCAUUCAUCUAUGCCUUCAUUCGAUCGUCCAUUGAUCCUCCAACAUUGAACAACAUCUAACAAUACCAACUUGCUCUAAUGUUCUCUAAUAAAAUUCAGAUUAGAAAAGGUGUUUACAAUUACACAUAUUUUGAUUUGAACUGUACCUUAAUGUAAACAUCGCAAAGUAUUAUUGAAACCCCAUGUGGCCUCUUAAGCUUUGUACCCGUUAUUCCUUUUGACAAUAUCGGCAAUAUUACACACAUGAUUACUCUAGUUCUAUUUGUUUCAUACAAAUUUUGCUUAGCACAUUAUGGCUAUGUGCUUAUCUUCUUCAUGAACUUUUUACAAAGAAACUCUAACUUUCUUUUAAAGUGAGUACCUCGAAGUUCAUAUAGAUAAAGAUCAGACAAUAUAUUUUUACAUUUUAAGACACUUGUACUUAGUACUAGACUUCAUUUAGAGUUUAUAAAACUCAUCUAUCCAAUGAUGACAAGAAGCACUUACAUCAUAAGGAUAUAUCUUAACUUUAUUUAAGUGAAGUGCUGCAAACUAUCCACUUAUCGAAUGCUUUAUUACCCUUUAAGCUUAUGAAUUAUUAAUUCCAUAAUGAUAUGUAUGGUUUCUGUCAUUAGUUGAUUUUUAAUUAAAGAAUUUCAAUACCAUCCUAUUCGAGGUUGAUCUUAUCAAACAUUUCAUAAGAAUUUUGGCCAAGAUUUAACUUGAUGUCACACUAGUCGUAGAAAUGAAUUCAUUCUUUGAUUCAACUUUUCACGUAUUUGUUUAGACUUAUUUUUUGUUAAGUGAUUCAACACAAUCAAUCUCUUAUUCACUCUUUUGAUUCCCUUUUUUUUUAAAAUGAGAAUGAUAAAUAUAGUUGUUACGGAACCCACAUAAAAGAUAGAAAGUCAAAUAUAGUGGCUUGAUAUGAUGGAUAACGAUCAUAUUUUUCAUUUUUGUGGUCAAAGAAUGGAAAUCAAAUGGGGGCUUUAAUAUCCUGAAACUUGUUAAAGUUUCUAUGAGGAUAUUUUCAUUUAACCUGUUAUUAUCCCAUAUCUUUGAGUAUAAUUUUUACAUUUUAAUGCUACCCCCUCAUUUGGAGUAUAUUUGCGUUUAUUUUAAAUUUUCACAAAACUUGGUUUUUAUUGUCUCCUCAAUUGAGUACAAUAAUUUCUCUUUGAUUUGUCAAUGCUACCCAUGUUUUGGAAUAGUAACAGAUUAUUUGAUUUUAAAAUUUUUAUUCUUUCACUCAAUUAAGAAUAAAAUAUUUCAGCCCGCUUGAAAUAAACUGAGAAUUUAAUUUAGAUAUAGAGUACCUAAUUCACUUCUUACAUUUGGGCUCAACCAUAUUCUUUCCCACAACUGGACCACAUAUUCAACACUAGAAAGAUAAUCUUCCAAUGAAACAUGCAUUUUUCAGUAACAGAAAUUAAAAUAAAAAGGAAAGAAACUUAUCUGAAACAAAGUUCAUUUAAGUUCACAAUGUUGAUGUCUAUUUACUUCCCCUCGCCUUUUUCUUUUCUUCAACUUGGACGUAGAAGCAGGCCGAUCCUCUGAUUGUCG
Molecule: long non-coding RNA, 2239 nt
Filed under: Olea europaea subsp. europaea
Lineage: Eukaryota; Viridiplantae; Streptophyta; Magnoliopsida; Lamiales; Oleaceae
Source: RNAcentral